GGAAUCUGAUCCAGCCAUGCCGCGUGCAGGAAGACGGCCCUAUGGGUUGUAAACUGCUUUUGUAUGGGAGCAAUAAGGUCUAUGCGUAGACUGAUGAGAGUACCAUACGAAUAAGCAUCGGCUAACUCCGUGCCAGCAGCCGCGGUAAUA
This 150-nucleotide ribosomal RNA is filed under the name uncultured bacterium. Its description in RNAcentral is "partial 16S ribosomal RNA". It matches the Rfam family "Bacterial small subunit ribosomal RNA", at positions 378 to 525 of the family's 1533-position model. The record is from RNAcentral.